This 468-nucleotide ribosomal RNA is filed under the name uncultured bacterium. RNAcentral's name for it is "partial 16S ribosomal RNA". It matches the Rfam family "Bacterial small subunit ribosomal RNA", at positions 28 to 507 of the family's 1533-position model. The record is from RNAcentral.
GACGAACGCUGGCGGCGUGCUUAACGCAUGCAAGUCGAACGGAAAGGCCCUGCUUUUGUGGGGUGCUCGAGUGGCGAACGGGUGAGUAACACGUGAGUAACCUGCCCUUGACUUUGGGAUAACUUCAGGAAACUGGGGCUAAUACCGGAUAGGAGCUCCUGCUGCAUGGUGGGGGUUGGAAAGUUUCGGCGGUUGGGGAUGGACUCGCGGCUUAUCAGCUUGUUGGUGGGGUAGUGGCUUACCAAGGCUUUGACGGGUAGCCGGCCUGAGAGGGUGACCGGCCACAUUGGGACUGAGAUACGGCCCAGACUCCUACGGGAGGCAGCAGUGGGGAAUAUUGCACAAUGGGCGGAAGCCUGAUGCGGCAACGCCGCGUGCGGGAUGACGGCCUUCGGGUUGUAAACCGCUUUCGCCUGUGACGAAGCGUGAGUGACGGUAAUGGGUAAAGAAGCACCGGCUAACUACGUG